RNAcentral lists this transfer RNA (85 nucleotides) under Felis catus (domestic cat). It matches the Rfam family "tRNA". Rfam says of the family: Transfer RNA (tRNA) molecules are approximately 80 nucleotides in length. Their secondary structure includes four short double-helical elements and three loops (D, anti-codon, and T loops). Lineage: Eukaryota; Metazoa; Chordata; Mammalia; Carnivora; Felidae. The record is from Rfam by way of RNAcentral.
GCCUGGGUGGCUUGGUCGGUUAAGCGUCUGACUUCGGCUCAGGUCAUGAUCUCGCGGUCCGUGAGUUCGAGCCCCACGCCGGGCU